AUGAGCCGCUAUUUUGAGGAUAAUCCCGUGUACCCCGAGUCGUACUUCCGGCGCCGGUUUAGGAUGAGCACCGAGUUGUUCAGGCGCAUUGCAGAGAAACUAGCGAGCCAUGAUCGGUUUUUUCAGCAAAGGAGGAAUGUCGCAGGAGAGCUCGGGCAUAGCACCUUUCAUAAGACAGCCGCUUUGCGUAUGUUGGCAUACAAUAUUCCAGCUGAUCUAGUUGAUGGCCACUUGGCCAUGGGUGAGAGUCAAGCCAUCAUGUGUGUCAAGCGCUUCGCAGUCGGAAUUGUGCAAGUGUUUGGCCUGGAGUAUUUGAGAUUUCCCAAAGCUGAAGACUGUGCAAGGCUUUUGGAGAUGAACUAA
RNAcentral lists this ribosomal RNA (363 nucleotides) under Triticum aestivum (bread wheat). Its description in RNAcentral is "partial small subunit ribosomal RNA". The record is from RNAcentral. Lineage: Eukaryota; Viridiplantae; Streptophyta; Magnoliopsida; Poales; Poaceae.